RNAcentral lists this long non-coding RNA (1924 nucleotides) under Helianthus annuus (common sunflower). Its description in RNAcentral is "hypothetical non coding rna". Lineage: Eukaryota; Viridiplantae; Streptophyta; Magnoliopsida; Asterales; Asteraceae. The record is from RNAcentral.
GAAGAUUUUAUAAUUUUGAAUUUUCAUUAAGCUAAUCUUACAUAACUGUCCGUUUGUAUAAAUUGCAAACGACCAAUGCAAUUGUACCCAACUACUUAAAGCCACCACCAUCUACUUCACUGCCCCAAGUAUGCUCAAACUUUGACCUCAUCUCACACGUACUGUUUCUUUACGCAAAACCCGGGCGUCACCAUGUUGCAUGGGAAGUGUUCGACGUAAUGCCUGAGAGAAAUGACGUUGUUCGAAAUACCCCCAACAAGACUUCUUUCUUCUUCACUUUAACAACCCCCAAAUCUUCAGUGGAAGAUGCUCAUGCCAAACUCAAUACACAUUUACAUCACAACUUGGUUGUGAGGAUUUUGGCAGAGAAUUAAAAGCCUUACAGCUGCGUUGAACCAAGUUAAACCACGAUCAUUAGCCUGAUCGUGGGAGUUACUUGCAGGAGUUGAGAAAGAAAUUAAAUAUGGGGGAUGGCUCAAUGAUCUGAAGCAAUUCGGCAAGAAGAACAGGUAACAUAGAGUUGAAUUGGUUUAAAUGGUCAAAGUAAGUGCUCCUUAUGCCAAAUAUUAUUCUAAUGAGACUUGCUAUUUAAAAUUCAUCUGGAUGAUAUGAGAUACUGGAUUCAAAUGUUCAAAUUAAAGCCCUAGCUACACUUUCUUGCUGAUCUUUGUAAGUGAAGAUAAGAUUUCGUUCAUGUCGGGUCGAUCAUCUGGAUCCGGUCGAGUGCAGCAUAAAGCCAACUGAAGAAUCUGUUCUACAACACUCUGUUUUGUGUUGAAGUCGGAAGCCAAAUCAGGAUCUACAACUUCAAUCAGCUCAUUCAUUUCUUUUGAAAUUGCUUGUUCUAUCAACUGUGGCAAAGUGAUGUGGAUUCCGUUGUCUUCGAUGCUAAAGGCGAAGAGAACAUGUUCUUGGACAAGCUUCGGAAUGAAGGCACGACGUGAAGGCACUUAAGAGAUAAAAAUGAUCGAGUUGCCGCUGACCAUUACCAACACCACAAGGAUCUCAAGCAUUGAAGUCAAAAGAUUCACAAGCAUAAUCAAAGGGGGAGUUUAUUGACACACUACCUAAAUGAAAAGGGAGUUUGUUGAUACACUUUCUACUUACGACGCGUGAAGACUUUGAAGAUCCUCCGACGUGGAAGAUAUGGAAGUUGAACCUCACGAGUAGCGUCCAAGGGGGAGUUUGUUGAUACAUAUUAUGUGGACACGACUCGGUUCGGUUCGACUCGGUUCGGUUCGACCCGGUUAGGUUCGGCUCAAGCCCGACGUCACGACAUUCCUCCGUCGUGCGUCCCAGAGUUCGACACGCGAAGCACGGAGCGCCGCGAGCCGGUUCCCGCCGCCACAUCAUCAUGACAUCAUCAUGAUGAUGUCAUGAUGAUGUCAUACCCUUUGACCAAAUGCAUUUUGCAAUGGCUGGCAUGGAAUUUACGUAAAGAAUGGUUGUGAUUGGGCCAUUUUUUGUGGGCUGAUACAACAUUGGGCCGAAACCCAUAUUAAACAACAUGUGAAGAAAACAUAAAAAAUGAAAUGAAGUGAUUUCGGAAAAUAGAACCAGAGGAGGAGGGCACAAGGAAGAACACAUACCCGAGAGAACUAGUGAGAGUUUGCAAAGAUUAAUUUGUAAACAUUGAUUUGUAACCGUUUCAAGUAUUAAUACAUUGGUGUUAAUCGUUGAGUCUCGGUCUCCUUCUCGUGUUCUUGUCGUGUUCUAUCUCGGUUUGCAUCUCCGGUUGGAUUCCGCACAACCGGGUGUGUUUGUACACAAGGAUUAGGCGACUAGAUCCUCCCCUAGCCGGACCUACAUUAUAUUUAUCAUGUAUAGAGAUAGAGAUUAUUUAACUCAAACGAAGUUUAAGGUAUUUGUGAUAAACUUGAUGAUUGUAAUGAUGAUUUGAGAUUCGAAUCGAAGUUAGCUUCUA